GCACCGUAAGCAUUGCUGGAAUGUGGGAGAUGCAUGCCUUUUCCCUUUUAUGUGAAAGUGAACCCAAGGAUCAUAAUGGCAAUUAAAUUCGGAGUUGACGUUAGAUUCUUGCGCUUAUAAGGCUGUAUAAAAAUCGAACUUCCCUUCAUGAGGUUACUCUCCUUCUUCCUGCUUGGUGAUUGAUUUCGAUAUCCUUUACCUAAUUCAGGUAAGGUCGAUCAGUUCUUCCUGAAUUGUGGUAUCACUACAUUGCAUCUCAGGAACAUCCAGACUUUAAGCCUUGUACGCAUAUAGCUUCUCUCUGUGUCGUUAGCUGAUGGAAGAACAUCAACAAGGGUGAAGAACUCAUCCUAGUUCAUUUUAUUCGAUUUUUUCUUAUCACAGGUGAAAAAUUGGAAAAACCAUCGAGUUUUGUAGCUCGGGCUCAGUAUCUACCUAGAAGCAAAAUUACUUUGGGGAAAAUGUAGUUGUUGUCCCAGGUAUCCUUUCUAGAGUUUCUCUGCCAAUUUCUUUUUGGUCUUUCACUUUUUAUGAGUUUCUCCAUUUCUUUAUGUGAGGAGGACACAAGUCAAGGAGCUUGGAUAGGCCUUGCCAAAAAUAUCUUGUGGGUCCCUUUAACUUUGUUUACACAAAUGCUUUGCUUUACGAUGUAGGACGCUAGAUUUUCUGCACAUUGGUU
Papaver somniferum (opium poppy) is the source of this 679-nucleotide long non-coding RNA. RefSeq lists it as uncharacterized. NCBI's taxonomy places the organism in Eukaryota, Viridiplantae, Streptophyta, Magnoliopsida, Ranunculales, Papaveraceae. The record is from RefSeq and is a predicted model, not a curated record. The transcript has 3 exons.